CCUACGGGAGGCAGCAGUGAGGAAUCUUCCGCAAUGGGGGCAACCCUGACGGAGCGACACCGCGUGAAGGAUGACGCCUUAUUCGGGUGUAAACUUCUGUUCUGAGGGACGAAAUUUUUGACGGUACCUCAGGAGAAAGCACCGGCUAAAUCCGUGCCAGCAGCCGCGGUAAUACGGAUGGUGCAAGCGUUACUCGGAAUUACUGGGCGUAAAGCGUCCGCAGGCUUUUUUAUAAGUCUGGUGUUAAAGCACGGAGCCCAACUCCGUGUCUGUACCGGAAACUAUAGAAAUAGAGUCACUCAGAGGCAUCUGGAAUGCCGUGUGUAGGGGUAAAAUCCGUUGAUCCACGGUAGAACGCUAAAAGCGAAGGCAGGAUGCUGGGAGUGUACUGACGCUCAGGGACGAAAGCGUGGGGAGCGAAGGGGAUUAGAUACCCCCGUAGUCCACGCCCUAAACGAUGCGUGCUCGGUGUUGGGAUUUUUCAAUUGAUCUCAGUGCCUCAAGCUAACGCGGUAAGCACGCCGCCUGGGGAGUACGGCCGCAAGGCUAAAACUCAAAGGAAUAGACGGGGACCCACACAAGCGGUGGAGCAUGGGGUUUAAUUCGAUGAUAAGCGGAGAACCUCACCUAGGUUUGACAUCCCGGAAAUCGACUGGAAACAGUUGAGUGCCGCAAGGAAUCCGGUGACAGGUGGUGCACGGUCGUCGUCAGCUCGUGCCUUGAGGUGUACUGUUAAGUCAGCAAACGAGCGCAACCCUAAUCCUAUGUUGCUUUUUCAUAGGAGACUGCCGCCUCCAAGGCGGAGGAAGGUUAGGAUGACGUCAGAUCUGCGUGUCCCUUAUGCCUAGGGCAACACCCGUGCUACAAUGGUCGGUACAAAGGGCAGCCAACCCGCGAGGGGGAGCCAAUCCCAUCAAAACCGGCCUCAGUUCGGAUUGAAGUCUGCAACUCGACUUCAUGAAGCUGGAAUCGCUAGUAACCGUGAAUCAGCUACGUCACGGUGAAUAUGUUCCUGGGUCUUGUACUCACCGCCCGUCAAGUCAUGAAAGGCAGGGGCGCCCGAAGCACCGUUACUCUCACGAGGCGGUACCACGGUGAAACUGCUGAUUGGGACUAAGUCGUAACAAGGUAUCCGUAGGAGAACCUGCGGAUGGAACACUUCCUUACCAGGGA
Molecule: ribosomal RNA, 1173 nt
Filed under: Candidatus Peregrinibacteria bacterium CG11_big_fil_rev_8_21_14_0_20_49_14
Lineage: Bacteria; Candidatus Peregrinibacteriota
Description: bacterial SSU rRNA
Rfam family: Bacterial small subunit ribosomal RNA
Source: RNAcentral